GCGGAAAUGGGUCAAAUGGUAAAA
Molecule: transfer RNA, 24 nt
Filed under: Myoxanthus punctatus
Lineage: Eukaryota; Viridiplantae; Streptophyta; Magnoliopsida; Asparagales; Orchidaceae
Description: partial tRNA-Gly
Source: RNAcentral